Molecule: long non-coding RNA, 909 nt
Filed under: Daphnia pulex (common water flea)
Lineage: Eukaryota; Metazoa; Arthropoda; Branchiopoda; Diplostraca; Daphniidae
Description: uncharacterized LOC124190855, transcript variant X1
Source: RNAcentral
AGUACGUAGUCAUUCGCCAAACGAAAAGGUUGGUGUCCAACUAGUUUGCCAGUAAAUAAGAGAUAACAGGAUUACUAGUAUUUUUCUAAUCCAUAUGAAAUAAACCUACGGAUCUGAUACAAAAAUGGAUAAUGAAACAGGACUGGCCAUUUUAAGUGCCGUAUUAAAAGGCAUGUCGUGCCCAAACCGAAUACUCACAAGUGAAGAAGAUAAUUCGACUGGAAUUGGCGUCAAGGAUCUGCACAAGAUUUUGUUGAAAGGAUGCUAUUACGAUCCGGAACGGGAAAACAAAACGGAUACUCCUAGUGCAGUUGUAUUCAGUUGAAUUGUAUUAUUCUUCCCUUGACUAUUAAACCCACUACGACAAUCAUUGAAUUCAAAAGGAUUAUAUUACCAUCAAAAGAAAUUCCGCCACAAACCCAACGCUUGAUUUUGGCUAUUCAUUUAGACGAUGAUUAAAAUUUAAAAGAGGGGAGCACUUGAAUAGUCUUGAUCUAUACAAGUGUAUAGCACACACAAAAACCAAAGAUACUCUACGUCGCCUUACAGAACUUUUGUUAAAAUUUUUCAGCUAUUGUUUACACCGAAUGCAUUUUAUGUUGACAACCGAACGUUUUCCGUUUUUUCCUGUUUUUCUCUGUUGUUUUUUUUUUCUUUGUUUGUUUUUGUUUUGCUCCACAAUGAAAACUUUCAUGCUGCAUCUGUCUGCGCAUAUAAAAUAACUUUUAGAAUAUCUUUUAAAAUCGUUGGCGAUUUUUCAGGAUAACAAUGCAGCGCGAUGACUUAUAUUUUCAACUCGAGUGUUUAAUUUUUACUAAAUCAUCUUCGUGACGCUUCGCCUUUAACCAAUGGAAAAAUUUCUUUGUAAACCACUCUUCCAUUUCAAAAUAAACUCGAUUUGUUUAUUCA